Molecule: ribosomal RNA, 1108 nt
Filed under: uncultured bacterium
Lineage: Bacteria
Description: bacterial SSU rRNA
Rfam family: Bacterial small subunit ribosomal RNA
Source: RNAcentral
GGGUGAUCGUCCACACUGGGAAUGAGACACGGCCCAGACUCCUACGGGAGGCAGCAGUAGGGAAUCUUCGGCAAUGGACGGAAGUCUGACCGAGCAACGCCGCGUGAGUGAAGAAGGUUUUCGGAUCGUAAAGCUCUGUUGUAAGAGAAGAACGAGUGUGAGAGUGGAAAGUUCACACUGUGACGGUAACUUACCAGAAAGGGACGGCUAACUACGUGCCAGCAGCCGCGGUAAUACGUAGGUCCCGAGCGUUAUCCGGAUUUAUUGGGCGUAAAGCGAGCGCAGGCGGUUAGAUAAGUCUGAAGUUAAAGGCUGUGGCUUAACCAUAGUACGCUUUGGAAACUGUUUAACUUGAGUGCAGAAGGGGAGAGUGGAAUUCCAUGUGUAGCGGUGAAAUGCGUAGAUAUAUGGAGGAACACCGGUGGCGAAAGCGGCUCUCUGGUCUGUAACUGACGCUGAGGCUCGAAAGCGUGGGGAGCAAACAGGAUUAGAUACCCUGAUAGUCCACGCCGUAAACGAUGAGUAAUAGGUGUUGGUCCUUUUCCGGGAAUCAGUGCCGCAGCUAACGCAAUAAGCACUCCCCCUGGGGAGUGCGACCGCAAGGUUGAAACUCAAAGGAAUUGACGGGGGCCCGCACAAGCGGUGGAGCAUGUGGUUUAAUUUGAAGCAACGCGAAGAACCUUACCAGGUCUUGACAUCCCUCUGACCGCUCUAGAGAUAGAGUUUUCCUUCGGGACAGAGGUGACAGGUGGUGCAUGGUUGUCGUCAGCUCGUGUCGUGAGAUGUUGGGUUAAGUCCCGCAACGAGCGCAACCCCUAUUGUUAGUUGCCAUCAUUGAGUUGGGCACUCUAGCGAGACUGCCGGUAAUAAACCGGAGGAAGGUGGGGAUGACGUCAAAUCAUCAUGCCCCUUAUGACCUGGGCUACACACGUGCUACAAUGGCUGGUACAACGAGUCGCGAGUCGGUGACGGCAAGCUAAUCUCUUAAAGCCAGUCUCAGUUCGGAUUGUAGGCUGCAACUCGCCUACAUGAAGUCGGAAUCGCUAGUAAUCGCGGAUCAGCACGCCGCGGUGGAUACGUUCCCGGGCCUUGUACACACCGCCCGUCA